UCCCUGGUGGCUUAGAUGGUUAAGAAUCUGCCUGCAAUGCAGGAGACCUGGGUUCGAUCCCUGGAUUGGGAA
Molecule: non-coding RNA, 72 nt
Organism: Bos taurus (domestic cattle)
Lineage: Eukaryota; Metazoa; Chordata; Mammalia; Artiodactyla; Bovidae
Source: Rfam